UAAUUUUUUGGUGUUGAUGAGAAUCUUGAAGUUGGAGUGUCAAUCUUACACUAUUUGGAGUUGAUCUAACACUGCAUUUUCUUAAAAAUGUUAAAUUUAACACUGGAUCAUGAAAGUGUUGUAGUUAAAAUGGAGUGUUGAAAAUGUUUAAAUCUUGUUAGUGUCACAAUAAAGACAUUCAACACUUCCACACUCCAUUUAACGCCGAACAGUGUUCACGUCCACGGACAUUUCAUUUAGACUCCACCCCUCACGUCACGUUGCUGAUGGAAGAAGUUGACAAUUAGGAAUCAUUUUGCAUCAGUAGAGGUGGAUGGAGAUGUGUAGACUCCACUCUUCACCCCAGUUAUCGCCAGUUGGUGGUGAGCCUCCACUCUUGCCGACUACAUCCCAUUCAUUAGGUUCGACAAUUUAUCCUUCAGCCCACAAGAGGAACCCAACAGAACCAAUGGAUCAGGAUGAAGCAUGACGGAAAGUCGGUGGUGUUUUGAGGGCCAAUCCGAAAGGUGAGGAAAUCUUCAAGGAGUGCACCAAGACUGAAACACUAACCGAUGCAAGGUGUAAACAGAUGGUGAACAUCCUGGUUGCAGAUAUGAUGGAGCUGCAUGGGAGGGUUCCGCCAUCAUGUGUGAUGAGAAAUUACGCCCUGAGAAUUGUGACUUGUUUUCCAUACCUAAAAGAUCCAUUCUCCAAACCUGGAUAUGAUGCUUAGCUUAGCGGCAGUGGCUCAAGAGGUAGAGCAGGUCGUCCAGAAAUCGUAAGCUGUUUGGUGAGGCGUGCAGGGAGGCACUAUCUACAAUAAGACAUUCAACUGAUGAAUCCGUGGUCAAAGAAGAUGAGAGCAACUUUCCAGUAUCGACAGAAUAUGAUCCAAGCACAAGAUGUAUCAUCGUCUGUUCUCAAUGUGUUCACUCGCUUCCUUGAUGUUCCUGGAUUGAUUGACCAGGAUUUCUCAAUGAUGUUUGGUGAUGAAGUAUCUCAGAGGUUCCUGGCUAAGUGGUCAACUGUCUUCAAACCAAAAGUCAUUGCAGACUUCAAGACUCUCCCGCAAAAGCAGAACAUUGAUGAGUUGCUGUCAGGAACUGAACCUCAACCUGAUGACAGCUGUGGGUGAGAAGUUACGGUAUAGAUUACCAUGUUGGUGUGUUCAAAUGUACUGGAUGUAGCUUUGAUCUACCUAUGUUCAAGAAGAUCUGUGAUAUAAUAAAACACAAAGAAUGUGCUUUCACAAUAGCUGUAAUGUAGAAACGAUGUACUAUGAGGACCUGUUUAACGCGUACUGCAUAGAAGACCAAAUGCUUGAGUUUUCUGUCAUGUUUAAAUGAACUGACUCAUUUCAGACCAUUUGACAAGCAGUGCUCGAAUGACAAUUGUCAAAAAGCAAACAUACUGUAGUGCCCUGCUGUUAUUUAAGCUGUCUGUUGCAAAUGAAAUGUUUUUGAAUAAAAUGUAUGAA
Long non-coding RNA from Dunckerocampus dactyliophorus (ringed pipefish), 1456 nucleotides. RefSeq lists it as uncharacterized. NCBI's taxonomy places the organism in Eukaryota, Metazoa, Chordata, Actinopteri, Syngnathiformes, Syngnathidae. The transcript has 7 exons. The record is from RefSeq and is a predicted model, not a curated record.